AGCUGCCCGCGAGCUACCGGUAGCUCGCGAUCGAUGUGUUGGAGAGCCCUGAACUAGACGGUUAACUUCCAGUCAGAGAGUAUGGACCCUCGUCUAAAUGGAAUACUCGUGGAUUUUUAAUCAUGUAUGUGUUCGCUACAAUAAUUGACAUGAUGGAGCUUCAGUCUGCAGAGGAGCUGAUUGAAGAGAAACCAGAAUGGAGGCCAAUAAAUCGUUAAAAAAGGACGAUGCUGAGUGUCGUGAAGAUCCGUGUCCUCCAUGAAGUGCAGCAGAAAGAAGACGCCACACCUCCCAACGUGUCCAUCUCCAUCGAGCGAUCGGAGGGGCUUGAUGAGUGUAAAUGUUUGGCAAAGACCAUUUUUGAGGUACUUGAGAAUUUUCUUUUC
This is a long non-coding RNA of Trematomus bernacchii (emerald rockcod), 386 nucleotides long. RefSeq lists it as uncharacterized. The transcript has 3 exons. NCBI's taxonomy places the organism in Eukaryota, Metazoa, Chordata, Actinopteri, Perciformes, Nototheniidae. The record is from RefSeq and is a predicted model, not a curated record.